UAAUUUCGUCAAGUGCUAAACACAGUAAAAGAGAUGCGUUCUCUCUUUCUCUAUGAAAUGCACCUCAUGGAGUAGAGUGAAACAGGUGAGUCAACCGCGGGUGCACCGUGGACCCUCGGAAGAUCGCUCUCCAAUCCGUAGUCCAUCCAUAGUCGGUGCUCCAGAUCUUCAUCAUGAUCGUACACAAACUCCGGCAGCUCACUCUCUCUCACUGCUCCCACAGAUAAUCAAUUCUGCUGAUGUACCUUAACUUCCCGUACAACCUGCCGCACACAAUAACCAUCCUCCCCAAUCAGUUUCGUGGAAAUGGAACCCAAACCACCCCUAUCUGCUUAAGUUAGUGAAAACGAGUAUGGAAAAGCUAAAAUAAGCUGCGAGAAUACA
RNAcentral lists this long non-coding RNA (384 nucleotides) under Carica papaya (papaya). RNAcentral's name for it is "long non-coding RNA (CPAP_LNC012291)". Lineage: Eukaryota; Viridiplantae; Streptophyta; Magnoliopsida; Brassicales; Caricaceae. The record is from RNAcentral.